RNAcentral lists this ribosomal RNA (496 nucleotides) under uncultured bacterium. RNAcentral describes it as "partial 16S ribosomal RNA". It matches the Rfam family "Bacterial small subunit ribosomal RNA", at positions 28 to 506 of the family's 1533-position model. The record is from RNAcentral.
GACGAACGCUGGCGGCGUGCCUAAUACAUGCAAGUUGAGCGCUGAAGGUUGGUACUUGUACCAACUGGAUGAGCAGCGAACGGGUGAGUAACGCGUGGGGAAUCUGCCUUUGAGCGGGGGACAACAUUUGGAAACGAAUGCUAAUACCGCAUAAAAACUUUAAACACAAGUUUUAAGUUUGAAAGAUGCAAUUGCAUCACUCAAAGAUGAUCCCGCGUUGUAUUAGCUAGUUGGUGAGGUAAAGGCUCACCAAGGCGAUGAUACAUAGCCGACCUGAGAGGGUGAUCGGCCACAUUGGGACUGAGACACGGCCCAAACUCCUACGGGAGGCAGCAGUAGGGAAUCUUCGGCAAUGGACGAAAGUCUGACCGAGCAACGCCGCGUGAGUGAAGAAGGUUUUCGGAUCGUAAAACUCUGUUGGUAGAGAAGAACGUUGGUGAGAGCGGAAAGCUCAUCAAGUGACGGUAACUACCCAGAAAGGGACGGCUAACUACGU